RNAcentral lists this ribosomal RNA (400 nucleotides) under phytoplankton environmental sample. RNAcentral's name for it is "partial small subunit ribosomal RNA". It matches the Rfam family "Eukaryotic small subunit ribosomal RNA", at positions 587 to 986 of the family's 1831-position model. The record is from RNAcentral.
AGCUCCAAUAGCGUAUAUUAAAGUUGUUGCAGUUAAAAAGCUCGUAGUUGGAUUUCGGACUGGAGUAGGUCGGUCGGCCGCAAGGUCUGUCACUGACCUGCUCUGUCUUCUUCCCAGAGUCCUGCCGUGUACUUAACUGUGCGCGGUACCUGGAAUUUGGGACGUUUACUUUGAAAAAAUUAGAGUGUUCAAAGCAGGCUUGUCACGCCCGAAUACAUGAGCAUGGAAUAAUGGAAUAGGACUGCGGUCUUAUUUUGUUGGUUUCUGAGACCGAAGUAAUGAUUAAGAGGGACAAUUGGGGGCAUCCGUAUUUCGUUGUCAGAGGUGAAAUUCUUGGAUUUACGAAAGACGAACAACUGCGAAAGCAUUUGCCAAGAGUGUUUUCAUUAAUCAAGAACGA